UACAGAGGUCUCAAGCGUUGUUCGGAUUCAUUGGGCGUAAAGGGCGCGUAGGCGGCCAUGCAAGUCGGGUGUGAAAGCCCUCGGCUCAACCGAGGAAGUGCACUCGAAACUGCAUGGCUCGAGUCCCGGAGAGGAUAGUGGAAUUCUCGGUGUAGAGGUGAAAUUCGUAGAUAUCGAGAGGAACACCGGUGGCGAAGGCGGCUAUCUGGACGGUGACUGACGCUGAGACGCGAAAGCGUGGGGAGCAAACAGG
This 253-nucleotide ribosomal RNA is filed under the name uncultured bacterium. RNAcentral describes it as "partial 16S ribosomal RNA". It matches the Rfam family "Bacterial small subunit ribosomal RNA", at positions 524 to 776 of the family's 1533-position model. The record is from RNAcentral.